RNAcentral lists this transfer RNA (98 nucleotides) under Desulfallas sp. Bu1-1. RNAcentral describes it as "tRNA-Sec". It matches the Rfam family "Selenocysteine transfer RNA". The record is from RNAcentral. Lineage: Bacteria; Bacillati; Bacillota; Clostridia; Eubacteriales; Desulfallaceae.
GGGAGUGGAUGGUGCCUGGUGGUGCUCCUGGUCUUCAAAACCAGCCGCGGGGCGGCGAUCCCGUCCCUGGUGGGUUCGAUUCCCACACACUCCCGCCA